GAUGAACGCUGGCGGCGUGCCUAAUACAUGCAAGUCGAGCGAACGGACGAGAAGCUUGCUCUUCUGAUGUUAGCGGCGGACGGGUGAGUAACACGUGGAUAACCUACCUAUAAGACUGGGAUAACUUCGGGAAACCGGAGCUAAUACCGGAUAAUAUUUUGAACCGCAUGGUUCAAAAGUGAAAGACGGUUUUGCUGUCACUUAUAGAUGGAUCCGCGCUGCAUUAGCUAGUUGGUAAGGUAACGGCUUACCAAGGCAACGAUGCAUAGCCGACCUGAGAGGGUGAUCGGCCACACUGGAACUGAGACACGGUCCAGACUCCUACGGGAGGCAGCAGUAGGGAAUCUUCCGCAAUGGGCGAAAGCCUGACGGAGCAACGCCGCGUGAGUGAUGAAGGUCUUCGGAUCGUAAAACUCUGUUAUUAGGGAAGAACAAAUGUGUAAGUAACUGUGCACAUCUUGACGGUACCUAAUCAGAAAGCCACGGCUAACUACGUG
This 497-nucleotide ribosomal RNA is filed under the name uncultured bacterium. RNAcentral's name for it is "partial 16S ribosomal RNA". It matches the Rfam family "Bacterial small subunit ribosomal RNA", at positions 28 to 507 of the family's 1533-position model. The record is from RNAcentral.